GGGCUUGUAGAUCAACGGUAGAUCGUUUCGUUCGCAACGAAAAGGUUAGGAGUUCAAAUCUCCUCAAGUCCA
RNAcentral lists this transfer RNA (72 nucleotides) under archaeon CG2_30_31_98. RNAcentral's name for it is "tRNA-Ala". It matches the Rfam family "tRNA". Rfam says of the family: Transfer RNA (tRNA) molecules are approximately 80 nucleotides in length. RNAcentral also lists the same sequence under 2 other names. The record is from RNAcentral.